Molecule: ribosomal RNA, 253 nt
Filed under: uncultured bacterium
Lineage: Bacteria
Description: partial 16S ribosomal RNA
Rfam family: Bacterial small subunit ribosomal RNA
Source: RNAcentral
UACGUAGGGGGCAAGCGUUGUCCGGAAUUAUUGGGCGUAAAGAGCGCGUAGGCGGUCCGGUAAGUCAGCUGUGAAAGUCAAGGGCUCAACCCUUGAAAGCCGGUUGAUACUGUCGGGCUAGAGUCCGGAAGAGGCGAGUGGAAUUCCCGGUGUAGCGGUGAAAUGCGCAGAUAUCGGGAGGAACACCAAUGGCGAAGGCAGCUCGCUGGGACGGUACUGACGCUGAGGCGCGAAAGCGUGGGGAGCAAACGGG